This 106-nucleotide small nuclear RNA is filed under the name Sorex araneus (European shrew). The record is from RNAcentral. Lineage: Eukaryota; Metazoa; Chordata; Mammalia; Eulipotyphla; Soricidae.
GUGUUUGCUUUGGCAGCACAUACCUAAAAUUGGAACAAAAUAAAGAAGAUUUACAUGGCUGCUAUGUAAAAAUGACACACAGGUUCAAGAAGGUUUUUGUAUUAGA